GAUCCUGGCUCAGGAUGAACGCUGGCGGUAUGCUUAAUACAUGCAAGUCGUACGAGGGCUUUUAGCCCUAGUGGCGGACGGGUGAGUAACACGUGAGAAUCUGCCCUUAGGAGGAGGAUAACAGCUGGAAACGGUUGCUAAUACUCCAUAUGCCGAGAGGUGAAAGGAAUUUCUGCCUAAGGAGGAGCUCGCGUCUGAUUAGCUAGUUGGUAGGGUAAAGGCCUACCAAGGCGACGAUCAGUAGCUGGUUUGAGAGGAUGAUCAGCCACACUGGGACUGAGACACGGCCCAGACUCCUACGGGAGGCAGCAGUAGGGAAUUUUCCGCAAUGGGCGAAAGCCUGACGGAGCAAUACCGCGUGAGGGAUGACGGUCUGUGGGUUGUAAACCUCUUUUCUCAAGGAAGAAGUUCUGACGGUACUUGAGGAAUAAGCAUCGGCUAACUCUGUG
This 449-nucleotide ribosomal RNA is filed under the name uncultured bacterium. RNAcentral describes it as "bacterial SSU rRNA". It matches the Rfam family "Bacterial small subunit ribosomal RNA", at positions 15 to 507 of the family's 1533-position model. The record is from RNAcentral.